RNAcentral lists this ribosomal RNA (497 nucleotides) under uncultured bacterium. RNAcentral describes it as "partial 16S ribosomal RNA". It matches the Rfam family "Bacterial small subunit ribosomal RNA", at positions 28 to 507 of the family's 1533-position model. The record is from RNAcentral.
GAUGAACGCUGGCGGCGUGCCUAAUACAUGCAAGUCGAGCGGACAGACGAGGAGCUUGCUCCUCUGACGUUAGCGGCGGACGGGUGAGUAACACGUGGAUAACCUACCUAUAAGACUGGGAUAACUUCGGGAAACCGGAGCUAAUACCGGAUAAUAUAUUGAACCGCAUGGUUCAAUAGUGAAAGACGGUUUUGCUGUCACUAAUAGAUGGAUCCGCGCCGCAUUAGCUAGUUGGUAAGGUAACGGCUUACCAAGGCAACGAUGCGUAGCCGACCUGAGAGGGUGAUCGGCCACACUGGAACUGAGACACGGUCCAGACUCCUACGGGAGGCAGCAGUAGGGAAUCUUCCGCAAUGGGCGAAAGCCUGACGGAGCAACGCCGCGUGAGUGAUGAAGGUCUUCGGAUCGUAAAACUCUGUUAUUAGGGAAGAACAAAUGUGUAAGUAACUAUGCACGUCUUGACGGUACCUAAUCAGAAAGCCACGGCUAACUACGUG